This 301-nucleotide ribosomal RNA is filed under the name uncultured bacterium. RNAcentral's name for it is "partial 16S ribosomal RNA". It matches the Rfam family "Bacterial small subunit ribosomal RNA", at positions 509 to 807 of the family's 1533-position model. The record is from RNAcentral.
CAGUCGCCGCGGGAAUACGGAGGGUGCAAGCGUUAUCCGGAUUUAUUGGGUUUAAAGGGUCCGUAGGCGGAUCUGUAAGUCAAUGGUGAAAUCUCACAGCUUAACUGUGAAACUGCCAUUGAUACUGCAGGUCUUGAGUAAAUUUGAAGUGGCUGGAAUAAGUAGUGUAGCGGUGAAAUGCAUAGAUAUUACUUAGAACACCAAUUGCGAAGGCAGGUCACUAAGAUUUAACUGACGCUGAUGGACGAAAGCGUGGGGAGCGAACAGGAUUAGAUACCCGCGUAGUCCCUGUCUCUUAUAC